Long non-coding RNA from Anser brachyrhynchus (Pink-footed goose), 2860 nucleotides. NCBI's taxonomy places the organism in Eukaryota, Metazoa, Chordata, Aves, Anseriformes, Anatidae. The record is from Ensembl.
UAUGAAAAGAAAAACAGGCAGCUCCCAGCAGAGGAACAGCUUGGACAUCCCCUCUUGAUAUCUGAAAGAAAAAAAAAAAAAAAAAAAAAAAAAAAAGCCCUUUCCUUGUGAUCUGUCAGAGCUGUUUCCCCCUGGAGAAUUUUUGAGGAAGUCUGAGGUUGAUCGCAGAAGCAUUUACAAAUCACGAAACUCUGAAAGCUGCUGACGUGUUAUUUUUGGAAAAUAGUUCUGGCUGCUGUCUUUAGGCUACUGACACCACGGUGGCGAGUAGUCAUUUACAAGCUUUUUGAUUAGAUUUGAUGGGUGGACAAUGUACGGUCAUCCCCCUUCGAAAACCAGGUUCCUGGAAGGCACAUCAGGCUGGGCAUCCUAAAGCAAAAUCACCUCCAGAAAGCUUGGUGAGGACAAGUGUGUUUAAGGUGUCCUCAGCUUGCAGAAGUCCAUUGCAGACUGAUGUGCCCUAUUGCAUCUUCCUCCCCUUUCCUCUCCGUAUUGCUCCCUACACCAACGGGAAGCCCUGGAUCUCACUGAGCAAGGAGCACCAUCUGCUGUGUGUCUCAGAUGGUGCCUGUGUCGCUGGGACUAGGGACAUCUUGGACCACGGUUUGCAGAUCUGGAUGGACCCUCCAUUGCUUAACUUCCAGAUGGGGUCAUUCUGGCCGCCUGCUCCAGGAGUUCAGCCCUGCUCAUCAUAUGGGAGGCAUCCCAGCUGAAUCUGCUAUGGAGCUCCUGGCAUCCAGCUAACUAUCUGACUGUAUGUAUUUUGCCUCCAGAAGCCCUCUCAGGAAUGCUGAUGGAAAUGGCCAUUUGUAAAUGCAUACUGUUACAUUGUUUUGCCCUCAGGUAUGCUUCAGAUCUUCCAUUUUUAAGAUUGGAAAGACAUUUUACUGAUGUUUCGGUUCAACUGCUUUGAACAGAGACAUUCCAUAGGAGUCAGAAAUUAGGACCUGAAAACAUGAGACCUUAUGCUAACAGCAUUUUAGGGGCUUAAAUAUAUUCAGUCUCUUUGCUUACACUUCUUCUGUAUGGUGACACUUGGUCCUUCAUUCUGCUUUAGCUUUUAAAACAAAGACCUGCUCCCUGAGGGCUGAGAACUCCACACUUGUUGUCUGAGGGCAGACAACAAGAUUGAGACGGCAACAGCAAAACGUCAUCAUGCUACAAGGACUGUGAACUGCCAGAUAUGUAGUUGUUCUCAGUGGAACAGCAACUUCAUUGGGGGUGUCCUAGGAUGGAGCUCAGCUUGUCUGGAGAUGAAGGACAAGGAAAAACUAGAUAAGGGAGCCUGCUCAUCUGCAUUCCUAUGAAAUCCAUAAGAACCCCUUUGCCCUAGUAGGAUAUCAGGCUCUCCAACACCUCAGCUCAGACAGCCUCCCCCUAUCCUUCAGCCCAAGGCUCUGCAUAUGAGCUGUCGUCAGCAAAACUGUUAAUAACAACGAUGAUGCAUGUAAGAUGGAAAGGGGAAGCACUGUUUCUUGAGUGGGAGGUUAAGGAAACAGGUGACGCAUGGUGGGAGGAUGAGCACUGAGAAAUGGAGAAAUGAAAAAUAGAAAGUUUUCACUAGAGCUGUGACAAAUAUAGGCUCAUCUAAGUGUAAUGGAACAAGACGGCAAAGUGGGCAGACACAAUCUCGUGGCCUUUUGAAAGAGGAAGGAGUGACAUACAUACAUUUGAAGAUACUAAACUGACCUAUGUCCUGAGACUCUUAAGCUCUGGGGGUUCAUGCGGAGGUGAUUUUAAGAUGCUUCUUGUCCAAGUUGCCCAUUCGUUGCCACAGAUUAUUGCCGUGUCACUGUCUCAUCAGAAAUGGCAGUGUGCCCACGCUGUAGGCACCAGACUGAUAUAUUGACACAAGCUGAGGUGGCUGUAGCUAAUUCAGUUCACUAAGAGGAGGACUGUGGUGGCCAAGGGCUCUUGCUGAUCCCUGUCAGAUUUAGUGCAACAGGUCACCAGCUGAGGUCGGGAACCUCCUGAGCCAUCACAGCCUAACCAGACAAGUGCCAAGAUUUGCCAAGAGAGAACUAGAAGAGCCUGGACACCAUUUUAGCCAAUUUGCUUGGUUUUAGGUCUCCUUUCCUGUACUUUUCACAAACUCAUCUGUCACUCUUGCUUGCAGAAGGCAUUGUGGAAGGUUUACAAAAGCCCUGUAAGUUUGGGUUUGAUUCUGUUGUCUUUUGUUUUCAUGCUGAGUAGUGUAGGCAGGAUAUAACCCCUUGAUAUGAUUUGGAGAAGAGUACUAGUGCAGUGAAGGCCAGCAGCUCCUUCAGAGCUGGGCAGCAACCCCAGGCCAGCAGGGCCUGGCCCAGAAGCAGGGCCCAUCCCACCACCUUGUCCAUGAGUGGGACAAGGCCAAGAGGAUCUGGAGGCCAUCCCCGCUGCGACAUCACUGGGGAAGGAGCUGAUGGCCCCAGGGGUUGAAAUAUGGUCCAGGGGCAUGGGCAGGGUGUGGGGAGCUCCUUGGAGUGGUCAGGGGUAUUGGAGCUGGUGGUGCCCUCAAGGCAAUGGCAAUAGCGUUGACCUAGAUUGGCACUUUUGAUCAUCUCUGCUUGUAAGGAGAAUUACAGAGAAAAACCUGUUCCAGCAAACAGGUGAGUAGCAUAACUAAGCUGAAUCCACUGUAAACAACCUUGCUCAGUGCAAAUUCCCACUUAGAAGCCAAAAAGAUGCCAGCCCUGCAGUUGGUGGCAGCUCUGCUUCUGGAGAUUUGCUUUAGCUUUGACUGCAGCUAUCCCAGCAUGUGGUAGGAGGAGCUGCUGCUAAAUGGCAAGUAGUCCCACGAGAGUCAUGGCUAAUGGCUCCUGCUCAGUUAGAUAAUCAACCAUUUAAUAAAGGGUGAGCUUCCACCUCUUUACUUCCGUGG